Molecule: long non-coding RNA, 4514 nt
Filed under: Brassica napus (rape)
Lineage: Eukaryota; Viridiplantae; Streptophyta; Magnoliopsida; Brassicales; Brassicaceae
Description: long non-coding RNA (BNAP_LNC007183)
Source: RNAcentral
CAAAAUUCAAAUGUACCAAUUUAUAUAUUUUAUUUCAUUUUCAAAAAUCAUAUAUAACAGAUUUCUACAUUUUCUCCUAUAUUUAAUCUCAUUCUAUAUCGAUACACUAUUAGGUACACCUCUGCACGUAACACCUGGCUCAGAACUCGGAACCAACAACUCGUAAGGCAAAACUCCAGCUCCACACCUGUUUCUACGGUUAGGAUCACUGUUUCUUUUCUCAAUCUCUUUUUCUGUGUUUGACUUUAAGUUAUAGGUCAAUUUUGCAAAAAUCCCUAUAUAUUAUUUAUAAAAUGUAUAGGCAAACAAAUAUUCUAUCCGUCCAAUCUCCGCCGCAAAUCCAUAAAACGCAUCAACAAUCUCCGCAUCUCCGGUCCAAGUGGACGGUUGUUGUCUCUCCCCGAUAUACUCCUCAUCCGGAGAAUGCGUUGACAACGUAUCAACCACCGCCAUAAACUUCGACGUUUGCAACAAACUCGGCAUCGAAGAAAAAUAAAAUUUCUCAGGAUCCGAGAUAAAACUUGCGUACUCCGGAUCCGACUCGUCAGGGAUUAACCGUCGCAUCAGCGGAGGUCGGUUUGGGACGUAACCUCCAUACGGAUACUGUCCGAAGUUGAGAGCGGCGUGUUGAGCGGAGGCGAGCCAGACUAGUGUGGUGAGGAUGGAGACUAGGUCGUCCACGGUGUCUAACUUUGGCCACCACUCGGCUUCGCGGAGAUCUGCAUGGCCUACGUUGAUUGACUCCGAGUACCACGAUUGGAGUUCCGAGUCUGUUUGAAUUGAGUUCGAGUUUGGAUAGUAACGUUCCACGUAAGUUCGGACCCAUGUUUGGAUUGCGGACCAUAUUAGAAGACCGUCGUUCGCAUAUGGAUAGUCUUCGAUCAGGAGUUUAAGUCCAUGUGGUUGUGUUGGGUCUGGAACUGCCAUUCCUCUAAAAAACAAAAUAAAACGAUCAAUAUUAGAUAUCAUACGUAUAAAAUUGUGUUUGACAUAAUCAAGAAUAGUAUAUGUCUAACAAAGUUUAGCUACAAUACCUGCGAAUGAGAUCGGCAGGGAGGCCUUCCAUGUCGAACCGCCAACUACUUUUGUAGGCUGCGGAGCUCAUUUCCAAACCGUAUUGGCCAGCAGUGAAGCCUCCUUCAAUCACACCGUCUGCACUGAUCAAUGAUUGUCUAGCCAGUGCAUUGAUCUCCAACGUAUACCUCAUGUGUGGAUCCAAUAGUUUGAAUAUCGGAUGCAUAGCGCUUAAUUGCCUAUGUGCAGCUAUUAUAAACGGUUCCAAGCAUGCAUGGGUUCGUAACCUUUAGAACAAAAAUUGAUAAAUAUAUCAAUAACUCUAUAUUCAUUAUUAACAACUUGUUACAUAAAUGAUUAGUAAGUUAACGUUUUGAGUACUAACCAGUGGUUAACAAGUUGGUGGACUCCAGCAUCGUUGGAGCUAACAUGUGCUUUAGCGAGCUGCCACACCCAGUUAGAGGUUGCAUCGACAGGAGGUGUAACAACUCGUUUGGAUCGGUGGUUCGGGCCAUGGGAAGGGAGGCUUAGCUCGAUGGCUACGGGCUUAAGUGUUCCAAGACGAGUCAAGAAGAAAAUGGUUCGAGUAGCAUAUGCUUUGCGUCCAUCGAGCGCAUUGAUUUGGUCUAGGAACGGUAAGAAUAUGUCAUGGUAAUCCAACAUAUACAAUCUGUUCUCUUCCAACGCCUGAAAAAUAAUUAAACAAAAAUUAGUUGAUCAAAUUUCACUUUUAGUAAUUAUUCGAGUAAUUUGGAUUUGUUUAUAGUAUAAAACGUACUUGUUGAACGGACAAGCCGUCAAGAUGUCCGAUGAUGUGGUCGGAAGUGAGAGCGGAGUGUUGUGGACCGUAGAUUUCGGGGUCAAGAUUACUGACGGGUGGGAAAGUCUUGACUCUCUCAAUGUUGACUGGAUUGAUUCCAGCUAUGGCUUGACGUGCGAACUCGUCAUCUCGUAGCCAUGCGUUUUUAUCCUCUGCAUUCAUUUUAAAAAAAAAGUCAAUUAGUUAAUAACGCUGAUGUGCUAAGCAUGUUAUGAUUUUGAAUUAAUGAAAGGCAAACGCGCUUUUGUUUAUUCACAAACUAAUACUACUAUAACUAGCACGAGCGUUAUAACGAGUCAAGAAAAGCACGUGAAACAUGCAUAUGUUUGCUUAUGCACUCUUUUAUUCCUGCUUUUCAACUAAAAUGAUUAUUUCUUACUUUUUGGUAGGACGAUAACACUUCAUAAUGGUCCCAAUUAUCAAAGACCAACAAUCGCCACAAAAUCAAAGUUCAUUUUCUAUUAAAACACCCUUUUUAUUAAAAUCAAAAUUUGAUGUUAAAAUUUUUUAUGAAUUAAGUGAGCUUACUCGAUAAUAUUUUGGGAGUGUCGUAUUUGAGGAGUCCUUUCGAAGAUUCUUGGAGGGUAUUAACGAUGCCCUUAGGCAAAGGGAACUUGUUGAAUAUCUCAUCUUGAAAUCCUAACUUCAGUAGCAAGCCUUUUUUGUAGAGAUCAUCAAUCUCUCCGAAGUCAGAAAAGUCAUCAGCUAAAAUACUAGCUUUAAGCGACGGAACAAGGUGGUGUAACACCGCUUUUAACCUCCCUGCGGCGAAAGUGUCCUGCUUAGUCUCUUCAAAUUGCUCGUCUCGUGGCACGUACAUAGGUAAUGGCUUUUCCACUCGGCUCUCCGCUUCAUUAUCUGCCAACAAUGCAGAUAAAACAUCAGAUACAUUUUUUUCACAGUACCAGUCAUGGACAAUUGGACAUGACCAAAUGAAACAUUGGCUGUAGAACUUCAAAAAAAUUAGAGUCAAUUUAUAAAAAUGUAUCUCUCCAAUUUUUUAAUUUUUUUUAAAAAAAAUCGUUAAUUACUGACUUGUUUAUCGUCUCAAAAUUUCAUGAUCCGCUUGAUUUCAUAACACCCAAAACACAUAUACUAUUAGAGAUAUUGUUUUUAAGAAUGUUGUUAUGAAUUGUACCGGUAUCAGUUGGCUGGCGACCAGUGCGACACCGUCUAGGGUAAGGCCUCUCUCUGCCACCGAGUUUCGGACGAGAGAGUUCAGAUGACUUGUCGGGAUUUCCAAGAUCGUUGUAGACAUCAAAGUCAUAGAUUCUGUCUGAUAACUUCCUGACUCCAGUCCCAUCUCCUCGUAGAUUCUUCAACUCUUUCCCCCUUAGUUUUCUUAAUCCUUCAGGUGUCUCACUCGGCAAAAACGGCUGCACACAAAUUAACAUAACUUGAUUUUUAAUAAUUUAUAACCACAUAUUAUUUAUGGGAAUAUAGUUGAAAGCUGGCUAAUAAGUAUUAUUAUAUGGACCCACCAGACAUGAAUAUUGGAGAAGAUUUUGAAACUGAUUAGUAUAUGUGAUUAAUUCGUUGGAGAUCGAAAAUGACGUGACUUAAAUGGUCUGGGACCGUAAUUAAUUAUGUAUCAGUCAGAUAUUUUAAUCAGUAGGAUCCAUGUGCUCAGUUUUCGUUCUAUUUGAUUUAUAAACAAAUCAACCAUAAAUUUUAAAGAAAAAAAUACGAAAAUAGAAGAAAAUCUACUUUGAGCUUAUUACAUCUUUGGAAAAGAAUGCAUGUCUUCUAUUUCUAUAUAUUGAUUACUCGCGUGAGAGCCACUUGGUCCACACAUGGACUUAUGUACAAUUGUACUUAUAUAUGUCGUUUAUUUGUCAUCUUUCUCUACGUCACUAACAAGCUCAGCUCGAUUGAGGUUGUUGGCUUUUUGUCUGAUAAAUCUAAUUAAGUUGAUUACUCUGCAUCAUUGGAUCAGAAUCAACCAGACACAAAUAGCUUUUUGUACGUUCGAUUUUUCUACCCAACUUAAGGUUCGUAUGUAUGUCAGAUUAGGUUAAAACCAUAAGAACAAACCUUGUCUUGACUCUUUAGUGUAUAUCUCGAUCUGCCUUAAUUUCCCUGAUGAAAAGGUACAAAUAUAUAUUUUAUACGUCUGAGGAGAUAGUGUGUGACCCAAGUUAGGUCAGAACCCAAGAAGCCUUGGUUUUAGGUCCAAUUUAAAGUUGAAACAGAGCCACUUUGAAGUUUUCUUUUGAAAAAUUUAAGUUGAGCAAUCGAGAUCUCCAUGAUCCAAUUCGAAAGGGAGUCACUUUGAAGUUAUCUAUAAAAUGAGCCCAAAUCAUAAUCCAUCGUCGCAACAAUAAGCAUAUGGUAUUUUAAAUUUUCAAAUUUCAUAAAUUUUAUGGUCUUUUGGGCCAUAAUUAACCGGAGAUGAACAAAUCCAUUGUCUGAAUAUAUUUCAAAAUAUUAUGAAUAUGAAUUUAAAUCUAGCUUCGAGAACAUAUCUGCAAAAUUCAAAUGUACCAAUUUAUAUAUUUUAUUUCAUUUUCAAAAAUCAUAUAUAACAGAUUUCUACAUUUUCUCCUAUAUUUAAUCUCAUUCUAUAUCGAUACACUAUUAGGUACACCUCUGCACGUAACACCUGGCUCAGAACUCGGAACCAACAACUCGUAAGGCAAAACUCCAGCUCCACACCUGUUUCUACGGUUAGGAUCACUGU